RNAcentral lists this ribosomal RNA (421 nucleotides) under uncultured bacterium. Its description in RNAcentral is "bacterial SSU rRNA". It matches the Rfam family "Bacterial small subunit ribosomal RNA", at positions 360 to 773 of the family's 1533-position model. The record is from RNAcentral.
AAUAUUGGACAAUGGGGGAAACCCUGAUCCAGCGACGCCGCGUGUGUGAAGAAGGCCUGCGGGUUGUAAAGCACUUUUAGUGGGGAUGAAAAGCUCAGGGAUAACACCUCUGGGUCUUGACCUAACCCACAGAAAAAGCACCGGCUAACUCCGUGCCAGCAGCCGCGGUAAUACGAAGGGGGCGAGCGUUGUUCGGAAUUACUGGGCGUAAAGGGCGCGUAGGCGGCGACCCAAGUCAGAUGUGAAAGUCCUGGGCUUAACCUGGGGACUGCAUUUGAUACUGGGUUGCUUGAAUUCGGGAGAGGAUAGCGGAAUUCCCAGUGUAGAGGUGAAAUUCGUAGAUAUUGGGAAGAACACCGGUGGCGAAGGCGGCUAUCUGGACCGACAUUGACGCUGAGGCGCGAAAGCGUGGGGAGCAAAC